AGAGUUUGAUCCUGGCUCAGGAUGAACGCUGGCGGCGUGCCUAACACAUGCAAGUCGAGCGGGGAACCCCUUUCGGGGAGUUUUCAGCGGCGGACGGGUGAGUAACGCGUGAGCAACCUUUCCUUCACAGGGGGAUAACGCAGCGAAAGCUGUGCUAAUACCGCUUAAGACCACAAUGUCGCAUGGCAAAGGGGUCAAAGGAGCAAUCCGGUGAAGGGUGGGCUCGCGUCUGAUUAGCUAGUUGGUGAGGUAACGGCCCACCAAGGCGACGACCAGUAGCCGACCUGAGAGGGUGAUCGGCCACACUGGGACUGAGACACGGCCCAGACUCCUACGGGAGGCAGCAGUGGGGAAUUUUGGGCAAUGGCCGAAAGGGCUGACCCAGCAACACCGCGUGAGUGAAGAAGGCCUUCGGGUUGUAAAGCUCUGUUACCCGUGAAGAACGGUACGUCGAGGAAAUGCGAUGUACUUGACGGUAGCGGGGGAGGAAGCUCCGGCUAACUACGUGCCAGCAGCCGCGGUAAUACGUAGGGAGCGAGCGUUGUCCGGAUUUAUUGGGCGUAAAGGGCGUGUAGGCGGCUUGUUAAGUCUGGAGUGAAAAUCCGGGGCUCAACCCCGGAACUGCUUCGGAUACUGAUGAGCUUGAGUACUCUAGAGGGCAGUGGAAUUCCCGGUGUAGCAGUGAAAUGCGUAGAGAUCGGGAGGAACACCAGUGGCGAAGGCGACUGCCUGGGGAGAAACUGACGCUGAGGCGCGAAAGCUGGGGGAGCAAACGGGAUUAGAUACCCCGGUAGUCCCAGCCGUAAACGAUGAGUGCUAGGUGUAGCGGGUAUCGACCCCUGCUGUGCCGCAGUUAACGCAAUAAGCACUCCGCCUGGGGAGUACGGCCGCAAGGUUGAAACUCAAAGGAAUUGACGG
Molecule: ribosomal RNA, 918 nt
Filed under: uncultured bacterium
Lineage: Bacteria
Description: bacterial SSU rRNA
Rfam family: Bacterial small subunit ribosomal RNA
Source: RNAcentral